GACGAACGCUGGCGGCGUGCUUAACACAUGCAAGUCGAACGGAAAGGCCCUGCUUUUGUGUGGUGCUCGAGUGGCGAACGGGUGAGUAACACGUGAGUAACCUGCCCUUGACUUUGGGAUAACUUCAGGAAACUGGGGCUAAUACCGGAUAGGAGCUCCUGCUGCAUGGUGGGGGUUGGAAAGUUUCGGCGGUUGGGGAUGGACUCGCGGCUUAUCAGCUUGUUGGUGGGGUAGUGGCUUACCAAGGCUUUGACGGGUAGCCGGCCUGAGAGGGUGACCGGCCACAUUGGGACUGAGAUACGGACCAGACUCCUACGGGAGGCAGCAGUGGGGAAUAUUGCACAAUGGGCGGAAGCCUGAUGCAGCAACGCCGCGUGCGGGAUGACGGCCUUCGGGUUGUAAACCGCUGUCGCCUGUGACGAAGCGUGAGUGACGGUAAUGGGUAAAGAAGCACCGGCUAACUACGUG
This 468-nucleotide ribosomal RNA is filed under the name uncultured bacterium. Its description in RNAcentral is "partial 16S ribosomal RNA". It matches the Rfam family "Bacterial small subunit ribosomal RNA", at positions 28 to 507 of the family's 1533-position model. The record is from RNAcentral.